GAUAUCCAACACACUGGGCAGGAAGGAGAAUCCAACUCGAGUGUAAAAGGAUGCAAACGGCGUGUUCAGAUCAGCGACUUCAAACUAGGACUACACCAAUCAGGAUCAAUGGAGGAUGGACACCUAAAGGAAUUCCACAAGGAGAGUCGGACGUUGGAAAGGGACCUAAAUGGAUAUUCAAGAUGACCUUCAGACCUGUAAUGAGACGGCUCUGCCUCCCUGGCUGGAUUGAUGGAGAGCCCUGUGGAUCUUGUCUUGCUCUCAGUUGCACGUCUUCUCAGGCUGAACUGUAUUUUUUUCGGACAGGACUAGCUGAACGAUUGGUUCCCUCAAAUCAGAACCACUCCGGGAACUCCAGCUAGUGCGCUCUUCAAGCUGUAGUUGUGCUCUUCAGCUGAGGCGGUAAGGAAACCUUCGCUGGGGCUUCAAGGUGUAAAGAGGAGAAUGUUUGAAAGUGUUCCAUGGUACUCUGAUGAAGACCGUUGUUGUGUUCCACUGGCUGAGAGGUAAAACCACACAUCUUCCUCUUGGCCUUUCUCCUCUGAGAAUCAUGGCGCCAUCUUGAAGGAUAUUCCAGCUCAUGUAACUGAUGUCACGACAGAUUCUCAAACACUUUGUUUCUCCUGAGGGGAGUGUCUAUAGAACUGAAGACUUCAGACAGCAAUGUAUCCCAGCAGGCAUCUCUGCUCACUCAGACCACACCCCCGUGAGUAGGAUGCAACACUCUAGUGAUGGAGAUGUAGAGUUGUAUAAGUAACGAGGGAGCAGACAAAGGUGAUUAGAACACAAUGGCAUGUUAAGUCUGUAAAUCUUUAAACCAUGAAGAUGGUUGGAUAGUUCAGGAAUUGGGCUUUUUAUUAUUGGCAGUCCUUUUACUCAGAUGCCCACUUCUCACUGGAGCUGUAGAUGUCUUGGCUGGCAUGAUUUGCUGUUGGUGAUGAGGCGGUCAGGGUGACAUUGCAGGGCUAUGGUCGGCUCGCUGUGAGCUCAACGUUUAGAUUUUCUGUGUGGUUUUUACCCUGAAUAAUCUAGAUAAUUGUAAAAUGUAGACAUGCUUUUGUAUUGCAUGAUUUGAGGUUUAAAGUUGUUGUGGGACGUACAUGGUAGUUUGGUUCUUCGUACAGUUUUGAGUGAUAUAACUUGUACACACUGGGUGCAUAAUAAUGUAAAGGUACACUGAAUAUUAGUAUUGACCAACAGCAACAAACAGAUCUCUUCAAGGUAAGUCUGUUGGCUGUGUUUUAAUGAAGACCAUCACUGGACUUCAGGAUCUUCCUACGUUCAGCUCAAGGUGAGGCGCUGGUUCUGUUUUUUCUUUGGUUGGUUCCGGCUGGAAUGUUCGGAUUCCAGUCGGACGGUUUGUGCUUCCCGCCGUGGAAGUUUCUGAGUGCGGUAAUUUGAUUUAGACCCAAUGGUUAGCAUAGAACGUUGUAGUCUUGACAACCAUAAGAAACCACCUGGCAGUUAGUUGGACGGGAGUCCCCUGAGGGAAUCAGGCGGAACGUUCUGGGUUGUAUUUGCGUAACCUCGAGCCGUUGCCAACGGAAAAUAUUUUUCAGUCGGUUUCCAUUUGGAAUGGAUGCCCCUAUCAUAAACAACUAAGUUUGAUAUUAAAUACAUACUGACACGUACGUCGUACAAUAUGUUGAUAAUUUCCGAUGGGUGCGCCGUACUUUUAACCACGAUGACGUGACGGGACUCUCACUGCGUACAAAACGGCGUUCUACUUGCGGGCCCAUUUUUGACAUCAGUGAAGGCUGAAAAUAAUUUCAAGGAGGAAGAUAAUUUUACAUUUCUUCAACGGAAUCCAGCACCUGAAUAUGGCUGAGUAUAUUUGAUUCAAUAUUGGUACUGCUUAGUUCUUUGUUAAUUCAGCUUUUGUACGUUCUAAAUAUCUGCCGUCAUUAAUUGCCACAGAAGAUAAUCCCUACCCAAUGGAAUGACGUCAAACAACGUCUUGAGUGCAGAGUUAUCAACUGGAUAAUAUCAAAGCUAAAAUAAUGGCCGUCCUUCCCACAUGCUACAGUAGAAGAUACUCUAGAACUGUACAAGGUUAAAAAGAUAACAUGUAGUUUGUCCCAAGGUGUCUGCCUCCUCACCCAGAGCAAGACCUCCACCUCCUCACCCAGAGCCAGACCUCCACCUCCUCACCCAGAGCCAGACCUCCACCUCCUCACCCAGAGCCAGACCUCCACCUCCUCACCCAGAGCCAGACCUUCACCUCCUGUCAGAAGUUCUCCAGAACAGCUGAAAUGCGAGGCUGGGGACUGGAGGCUUGUGGUGCCAGAGUGGACCGGAGACUGAGGCUGGAGACCAGGGGCCUGCAGCACCGGACCAGAGGACCAGGAAUCCAUGGCUGAAGGAGCUGAUGGAGGAGCUGUGCUGAAGGAGCUGAUGGAGGAGCCGUGCUGACGGAGCUGAUGGAGGAGCCGUGCUGAAGGCCCUGCCUGAUGGAGGAGCUGGUGGAGGGCCUGCCUGGUGAAUGACGUCCGUCGUGGGGUAGAUGGAGCCUGACUCUGAAGUGAUCAUCACACUCACUGCCACUUCUCGUAGAAUACUACUACCACAAACUACCGGCGUUUGUACCAUAUAUACCAGACGACUACAUCUGUUUUACCACAUGUUGAAGCCAGACUUCCGCUGUUUGUUCCAGACCAGGACUCUGGCUGAGGAGAGCUGCUGGAGGAGCUGAGACGCUGGAGGAGCUGAGACGCUGGAGGACGACUAGGAAUCGUCCAACAAGGAUUCCUCAAAGUGUUUCUGGAGCGGAGGCGAGUUGGUCGAGGAGCCGUGAAUCUGGAGGAUGACCAUCACUCUACCAACCAGGAUCCUCGUCUUUCAUGGAUAUUUAACUGCAGUUCUGUGAGUAUCCCAACUUAACCAUGAAGAGGAACUGCAAACUGUAAGUCAUAAGUUUCUCAUUACUCUUGGGCACAUUGAUGUAUUUUGGCUUCCUGGUGAGUUAGCCCAUUACCUGAAGGUUGAUCUGAGUAGUAAGGAUGUUUUAUUGGUUCAUGGGUUACUUAGGUGUUUGGUUUAUGUUGGUUUUAAUGAUUUGUUAAAAGGGUUACAGGCUCCAAGUUAUUGUUGUAAGCUGGAGUAAUGGGUUGGGUUAUUUUCAGCUACUCUCCUGAGCUCUGCAUCUUCAUCACAGUCACAGAGUGUUGCUUUACUAAUGAGGGUGUGGUCUGAGUGAGCGGAGCUGCAUACUGGGAUACAGAGCUGUCUGAAGUCUACAGGUCUGUAGACAAGCCCCCUCAGCGGAAACCGAGUGUUUGAGAAACCGUCGUGACGUCAGUUACAUGGACUGGAAUGUUCUUAAAGAUGGAGACAGGGAUUCAGAAGGAGAAACACCAGGGGGGAUGAGGGGGCUCUUCAUCUCAACGACGAAAACACAACUUCAGUCUGACACAGAGAACCAUGGAACACAUUCAACAGUCCCCUCAGACAUCGUGACUCCUCAGGAACAGUUUCAUUUCCAUGAAGGUCUUAUUGGGGCCAUCCCCAGACGGAUCCUGCUCCUCAAGAGCCACCCCCCUCCACGGAGUGGUCUUCUGAACAGAUGACCUCCUUCCUGUCCUCAGGCUGACUAAAGCUCUACCGUUUGCAUCUGUGAAGGCCCCUCAUUCAGAAAACCACUCGACUACAAAGACAUGACUUCAGAGACGUUGAAUCAACCUGGGACACAUUUUGGAGACGCCAAGCAUAAUCCAUCACCAAUGUGGGACGCCACUGAAGAAUGUUGUGCAUAAGAAAACGUCUCUGGAGACAUUGGUUGUUCUGUUCUGGUUGCCCUGGCAGGAGAGCUGGGGGGGGGGGGGGGAUGAUGGAAUGUUAUUUGGCAUGAGGUUUUUACCUUGCAUGAUUGUUUGGCCUUUUAUGGCUCAGUGGUGUGUGUGUAUGUGUGUGUGUGUGUGUGUGUUCGGGUUUGACAUGAGAUGGAUGAUUUUUGAGCAUCGCUAGGGUUCUGCUGUGUGUGUCUCUCCCACUCACACCUGGGGUUCUACGUGCCUGUCCUGGGUUCUAUGUGUGUGUCCGGCUUGCUGUGACGGUGAUGAUGUUCAGACGGGGGUCUGUGUGAUUGGCUUGGGAUAUUGGAAUGGUCAAAUAAAUCAUACCUGAUGGACGGUCACACGUUUACUUAAGGGCCUCCAGUAGACAUGAAGAGCCCAGAGCGACGCUCCGCAGCGAUAUCCAACACGCUGGGCAGGAAGGACGGUAUCCAAAUCAAAUGUAAAAGGAUGCAAGCAGCGUGUUCAGAUCAGUGACCUCAAACUAGGACUACACCAAUCAGGAUCAAUGGAGGAUGGACACCUAAAGGAAUUCCACAAGGAGACUGACAUUGGAAAGGGACCUAAAUGGAUAUUCAAGAUGACCUUCAGACCUGUAAUGAGACGGCUCUUCUUACCUGGCUGGAUUGAUGGAGAGCCCUGUGGAUCUUGUCUUGCUCUCAGUUGCACGUCUUCUCAGGCUGAACUUUAUAUGUUUGGGACAGGACUAGCUGAACGAUUGGUUCUGAUUUAAGGGAACCAAUCCGGGAACUCCAACUAGUGCGCUCUUCGAGCUGAAGUUGUGCUCCUCAGCUGAGGUAAGGAAACCUUCACUGGGGCUUCAAGGU
Long non-coding RNA from Gadus macrocephalus (Pacific cod), 4618 nucleotides. RefSeq lists it as uncharacterized. The record is from RefSeq and is a predicted model, not a curated record. The transcript is spliced from 5 exons. NCBI's taxonomy places the organism in Eukaryota, Metazoa, Chordata, Actinopteri, Gadiformes, Gadidae.